This 605-nucleotide ribosomal RNA is filed under the name uncultured Leptosphaerulina. RNAcentral describes it as "eukaryotic LSU rRNA". The stretch from base 236 to 389 matches the Rfam family "5.8S ribosomal RNA". The record is from RNAcentral. Lineage: Eukaryota; Fungi; Ascomycota; Dothideomycetes; Pleosporales; Pleosporaceae.
UCCGUAGGUGAACCUGCGGAAGGAUCAUUAACCUUUCAAAACAGGGUGCGUCGCGGCCCCCGAGGUGCGGAAACAAGCCUCGAGCGGUUUGGGGUCCUCCCCUUCACGCGCGCACGACUGCCAUCCUUACUUUACGAGCACCUUCUGUUCUCCCUCGGCGGGGCAACCUGCCGUUGGAACCGAAUAAACUCUUUUUGCAUCUAGCAUUACCUGUUCCGAAACAAACAAUCGUUACAACUUUCAACAAUGGAUCUCUUGGCUCUGGCAUCGAUGAAGAACGCAGCGAAAUGCGAUAAGUAGUGUGAAUUGCAGAAUUCAGUGAAUCAUCGAAUCUUUGAACGCACAUUGCGCCCCUCGGUAUUCCGUGGGGCAUGCCUGUUCGAGCGUCAUCUACACCCUCAAGCUCUGCUUGGUGUUGGGCGUCUGUCCCGCCUCCGCGCGUGGACUCGCCCCAAAUUCAUUGGCAGCGGUCCUUGCCUCCUCUCGCGCAGCACAUUGCGCUUCUUGAGGGGCUCCGGUUCGCGUCCAACAAGCACAUUUACCGUCUUUGACCUCGGAUCAGGUAGGGAUACCCGCUGAACUUAAGCAUAUCAAUAAGCGGAGGA